Molecule: transfer RNA, 74 nt
Filed under: Rhodospirillaceae bacterium
Lineage: Bacteria; Pseudomonadati; Pseudomonadota; Alphaproteobacteria; Rhodospirillales; Rhodospirillaceae
Also listed under: 3 other names
Description: tRNA-Gly
Rfam family: tRNA
About the family: Transfer RNA (tRNA) molecules are approximately 80 nucleotides in length. Their secondary structure includes four short double-helical elements and three loops (D, anti-codon, and T loops). Further hydrogen bonds mediate the characteristic L-shaped molecular structure. tRNAs have two regions of fundamental functional importance: the anti-codon, which is responsible for specific mRNA codon recognition, and the 3' end, to which the tRNAs corresponding amino acid is attached (by aminoacyl-tRNA synthetases). tRNAs cope with the degeneracy of the genetic code in two manners: having more than one tRNA (with a specific anti-codon) for a particular amino acid; and 'wobble' base-pairing, i.e. permitting non-standard base-pairing at the 3rd anti-codon position.
Source: RNAcentral
GCGGGUGUGGUUCAAUGGUAGAACGCGAGCUUCCCAAGCUUGAGACGAGGGUUCGAUUCCCUUCACCCGCUCCA